GUCCACGCCGUAAACGAUGAUAACUAGCUGUUCGGGCUCUACGAGCUUGAGUGGCGCAGCUAACGCAUUAAGUUAUCCGCCUGGGGAGUACGGUCGCAAGAUUAAAACUCAAAGGAAUUGACGGGGGCCUGCACAAGCGGUGGAGCAUGUGGUUUAAUUCGAAGCAACGCGCAGAACCUUACCAGCGUUUGACAUCCUAAUCGCGGUUUUCAGAGAUGAUUACCUUCAGUUCGGCUGGAUUAGUGACAGGUGCUGCAUGGCUGUCGU
This 267-nucleotide ribosomal RNA is filed under the name uncultured bacterium. RNAcentral describes it as "partial 16S ribosomal RNA". It matches the Rfam family "Bacterial small subunit ribosomal RNA", at positions 793 to 1055 of the family's 1533-position model. The record is from RNAcentral.